GAUGCUUCUGGCUUUAGAGAUGGCAGCAUGAUGGCUUCUGCUUUACUUUAAUGUGAAAUGAUCCAGUGGAAAUAUUUGUGGAGAAGCACAAGGUGGGGCUCAUGUAUAAUCCACUACAAAUCAAGCCUCAGAGACCAUAUCGAAGCGUGAGCUUUUGUGAUUCACAGGAAAUGUUUUGGGAGAAGCAAGAUUCUGCAAAUAUACCACCUGGGCCUACUGGGCUUGUUUUCACUUCCAUUGCACUUCCACUUGUGCCCCACACAGGUGUGGAUGUACAAAGCUUCCUUGUGGCAGAUUGGGAGGUCAGGCUUGAAGAAAAAACCCUGUUUUUGGAAACUUGCUCAGGCUUGCUUGAGACCAGGGUGGUUUAGAAGCCCAGGGAGAAAUGUUGAAAUCAGUCAUUGCAAAAUCACUUUUGCAAUAAGUAAUGAAUAAAAACUGAAGGAAAAUCUCUUCCCCCACCCCGCAAAGUAAAAAUCUACCUUGGGACUUGUCUAAACAGCUCUUCAAAAUAGAACUUUAAAGACAACAUUAACCAAAGUGCUUCCCAGAGCCAAGGCCUGGACCUUUGGCCAUUUUUUUUUUUCAUUUUUUAAAGUUUUAUUGCCGUAUAGUUGAUUUACAAUGUUGUGAUAAAUUUUGCUGUACAGCAAAGUGAUUCAGUUAUACCUAUAUACACAUCCAUUCUCAUUCAGCUUGUUUUCCCACAAACAUUAUCAUAGAAUAUUGAGUAGAGUUCCCUGUGCUAUACAGCAGGUCCCUGUCAGCCAAUCAUCCCAUAUACUUCAGUGUGCAUAUGCCAAUCCCAAAUCUCCAGUCCAUCGCUCCAGUCUGUCUCCUUUGGUAACCAUUGGCCAUUAUUGACUUAUUCAUUCAGUAAAUAUCUGCAAGGACAUGACAGAUGGUACGCAGAGCCCAGGGUAGCGCUGAGAAGAGAAGGAUGGUGACUCUUUUCGUAUGGCUCGGAGACACCAACUUAGAUGUCAACUCCUCAGAGUCACUGUCUUACACUUUAUCUCACCUGGCUCCACCUAAGUUAUUCUUUACCUACACUUUGACCCUUCCAUCGCAUCCCUUGGUACACCUAAAUUCUGCUAUUUUUAAAAAUGGUGCCCUGUCUCCACCUACUAUAAUAUCACUGUGAAGGUCCAUCUGAAUUAUUCAGUGUUGUUUGCCCAGCAUGUAGAAUGGUGCCCAUGUAAGAUACGAUCUAAAAAUGUCUUUACUAAGGAAAUGAAGGAGGAAGGUACAAACCAUCCAACAACCUUCCUGUUCAGAUGCAAUGUUAUAUAUAAAGAGAGAACCGCAGGGAGUAAGUGAAAUAUCCUUAAGGAAAAUCAAUUUUUAUGGAACUUAAACUUUAAAAAGCUCACUUCUGAAGAAGACUUCUGAGAAGACUUUCCCCCAGCUCUUAAUGUACCUCCACUGGUUUGUGGAUUCAGGUCAGUGUGAAAAUUUCAAAAUAUUGUGGAAGCAAUAACAAACUCUUAUUUCAAAGUGACAUUCUGGCCAUAAUAUAUUCUGAUCAAUAGGAAAUGAUAGAGUCAAAAAUUAUGUAAAAUGCAUAUGGAAAUCGAAAGCGUGGAGUUUCCUCAUGGGUCAGCAAGUUAAGGAUCUGGCAUUGUCCCUACUGUGACAAGGGUUUGAUCACUGGCCUGGGAAGUUCUGCAUGUCAUGGGCACAGCCAAGAAAAAGAAAAAUGAAACUGUAUCAAAGGAGACAUUUGAAAUGAGUAACAAAAAAUUGUCAGAUUAUUUAACAAAAAGUUCUGGGAAAACUGCUUUGUCUUUCUGAAAGUUGGAUCUCUUUCUUUCUCUUUAUCCCAGAAUAAAUUGCAC
This 1838-nucleotide long non-coding RNA is filed under the name Sus scrofa (pig). The record is from RNAcentral. Lineage: Eukaryota; Metazoa; Chordata; Mammalia; Artiodactyla; Suidae.